This is a long non-coding RNA of Drosophila novamexicana, 2070 nucleotides long. RefSeq lists it as uncharacterized. The transcript has 3 exons. Lineage: Eukaryota; Metazoa; Arthropoda; Insecta; Diptera; Drosophilidae. The record is from RefSeq and is a predicted model, not a curated record.
UUGAAUAUAUAUGUUUAUAAGAAUAAGAUACACCACUCCUGCUUGCAGCAAGAGGAAAUUGAUCGAUAUACCCUGCUGCAGAAUGGUCGAAUUUUGCAAAAUCUCACAAAGUGAGACAGAACUUUCAUCUGCAAUGUCAGAGUCAAAGUUUUCGCAACAGAGACCGCUCAGGCCAGCAGACAAACAAUUGCGUAAAAACAAUAAACAAUGCUGGCAACAACACGGCAAUCAAGAGCACUGGCUGAGGUGAUUUGGCAAGUGGGGGCAAAGCUGGCUGUGCAACUACCUACAACAGCCGUCGUAUUGCUCAUGUGCAUGCCCACAAUUAAUUUACAAUAAAACAAUCAAUUGAUUACCAUUGCAUCCGGGCGCGUAGCGGAAAUUGUGCGCAAUAUCCUUUUGUUAAGCGGUCAUGACCCCAACAUGGUACAUGAUGACGGGGAGGGGCGAUAACCGUGGACGGACAGCAGUGUCAAGCUGGAGAAAAACUUUCAACCGCAACAAUGGGCAAAGCGACGAACGCGUGCCAAUUUAAAACCCCCAAAUUGACAAGGCCCAGGCACUGGCCCAGACAGACCAAAUAGCUUCGACCCCUCGACGACUGCUGCCCACCUGCCCACCCCUCUACACCCUACAGUUCUACUGCGUGAACUACAACUGAUUAGCGUUGAAAAACGUUCGCGUGCCUCAAGUCUGGCUGUUUGUUACGCCCAGAGGCUUAAUGAAUACAUUACAAAACAAAUGGAAAAACAAUGAAGUGGAGGCACGACUCAGUAAUACCAAACGAUGUUCCAACAAAGAAGUCAGUUUUUAACUAGCACACACUUAUGCACAGUUCAAGCUUGCUUCUCUCGAGCUGAGGCUUACAGGGUAUAAUCAUGUCCGAAGUGUAAACUUGGCGGCGCGUGUCAUAGAUUAUUGUAAAUGUCGUGCAAUUUUUAUGAUUAACCAUGGCUUUAACAAGUGACAACAAAUUAAUUCGACGCGCGGCAAUUGUGGUUUGAAUUAUGUCAGUCGCGAGUGAACGUCAGCGGCAGUGAGUACAUUUGACAUUAAAGUUGGCGAGGGGUUGGCUCAAUUGGAGCAACUUGUCUGCCCAACUUACCUAGGCAGCAACUUGUUAUGCAAAACAUAAGUUUCAGUUGCCAGCAGCUACAGCUACGAGAACAAGCUUGGCUUGCCUUGUGGGUGGCGUUUAAAAAGUUAACACUAGUCAAAGUUAACCAAAUUUGUUGCAUACUUUGCUGCGCCGCUACACAAAACACACUGAGUGAGAGCCACAGUAGCCGACAAGGCACUGACUGCUGCAUACAAUGAACUGAAGGCUGCCACACACAGCCUCCCACUCUUGGCGCCACACAACUGGGGCGCCCCGAAUGGAUAUGGAUGUGGAGAUGCUGAGCAGAAGUUGCGCCGAAAUGCUAAAACGCAGCGGGCGCUCAUCAUCAUCAGGAGAACCAGCAGCAGCAGAGAAUUAUUAUGAAAGUGGAAAGCGAGCAAAGCACAAUGGAUGAGCCACAAUAAAAACGGCUUAAAAUGCAAACUUUUUCAUAGUCCGAAAAUAAUUUGCAUUUCGCAGUUUCGAUUACCAAUAAGCGUUCUUUUUAGACAAAAUAUUUAUUCAGGUUCCGUUUUUGGCGUUUACUUUCAUUGCAGAUUUGUUCAGUUGUGUUUGCCUGAGUUCACGCAAGUUAGAAAUUUGGGAAAAUUACAAAAGUUUUUGUUUGGAGCAUUUAAGUUAUUCAUGAGCAGACGUAAAUUUAUGACGUCAAGACAUUUGUACACUGCAUAUAAAUAUAUAUUCCACGUUUGGAAGUGAGGAGAAAUUUGCAGUAGAUAUGAGUCAAAAACUCUACUUGGGGUGCGCUUAAGCAGGUAAAUUGAUUUCGUGCAGUUUCGGUCGUGAUCGUGUGGGCAACAAUUGACAACAAUGAGAGUAUGUAUGAACACAGCCUAGAAUAGCCAGAAUAUUUUGAUAGAACUUCUGGAAAUUAUAAAUAUCCAGAAUACAAACUUAUUUUACAAAAGCUUUUUGAAAUUAGUUAUUUUAGAAAUUCGUUAAAUUUUAAA